CGAGCGCCUGAGGGGAACGCCGCCCCGCCGCUGGCCGAGCGGGGCGGAGGGAGGCUGGGAGAGAGAACGGUGGGGCACAACAGUUAAAUCCACACCGCUGUACAGUCAUGCUGAAGACAAGCACGUUCCUGAGCAGCUGCAUCACUGUGGGUCUGGGCAGGACACCUGCAAUACUCUAGAGAACGGCAAUUCAAAAAACAGUAAAACACCCUAAAUUUCCGUGAGUGCUCAGCAUAUAGAUAAAAUAAGCAACUAAGAAGUAAGUAAGUAAGUAUCGAGUGAAGUCGUGCCUUCAAUUAAUUGAAUUUAGAGCAGCACUUAAUUUGAAAUUCAGGAUUGUCAUUCGAUCACACUGGCCUCUCCUUACAGAGCAUUUUUCCGGAAUGAACAAGUGCAUUUAUCCUUCAGCACUGCCCCUUGCAUCACGGGGCUUCCUACAGCAGGAACUGUGUUCUCACUAGUAAGGAAAUGAAGAUGAAGGGGCAAGAAGGGAGGAACACAGGGAUGUGUUUAUUGAACUAUGAUGAAGAUGCCAAAGAUAAACCUAGCACCUGCACACUUUUUUUGUAUUGUGUAUGAGAAAAUCCUUGGCCGUUAAGAUUCAGGGCAAAUUUCUAAAUUGACAGAGCAAAGACUUUGUCCCAUCCCUUACCAUGUAAUUACUUUAUCAAAAUGACUUUCCGUGACUAUGAAAAAAACAAUCCAGACUGACCUUUGCUACUAACCACCCAAGUACAGUCAGGUGAAACGUCAAAGCUUUCAUCAGCACUAUGUACGCUCACUGCCUCUCUUCCAAGGGAAAAUUAUCAUUCAUUCAGCCACAGAAUAACAAGGUAACUAGCUCGGUCCAUCUUCACUUGCCUGCGGGUCAAGUAACCUUCCAGGGUAUCGUCUGGAGAUCUAAAACAGGUAACGCAGCCAAAGCAUGCAGAGCAGCAAUACUGAGCUUGUACAGGAGUGUCAGCAGCUGGAAACGAUCUGACUUCAGCCCGAGCCAACAAGCACACGCGCUGAUACACCUUGGAGGGAAGGGGCACCUACACGCGGCUGCCCUCGGGGACAGCCAGCAGGGAGUGGGACAGGGCAGGAAGGGGAACCAGAGCACGGGACCUAAUGGGCAGAGGAAGAAAGGCAGAGAGAGAACGAAGGGAAAAAAACUGGCAAAUCUACAGGCUUCAAAUCCUUCCGUCUUCUUUCAAAAAAGGAAAUUACUGGAUGUUUUCCUGUGUGGGGGAGGAUGUAGUAACAUUUUGUUUGGUUUUGACUUAAUGACACCUUAGUGCAGAAGCACAGGCCCCUACACCUAAAAGUAAACACCCUAAAUGAAGGGUGUUUACUUCAGUCUGAUAUACAAAUUCAGAUAAUGUCAUCCUGCAUUUUGGCCACGUGUGAUUUAAGUAAAGGGCAAUAUGGAAAGCUCAAAACCCUUCCCAGCAUGUCAAACAACAAAAGGUUUGUACUUAUUCUAUCCAAAUUCUAAAAAACAGAAGGAAAAAGCGAAAGGUUUAAGAGUUGUCUGUAGGAAAGCAUCCUAUUUCAUUCAUGACUGCUUCUAACAUUAAAUGCAAGCAUUAGCCCUCCUUACAAUUAACUCUCCUGCUUAAAACAAAAAAGCAUAUUACUGAAUGAUGAAAAUACAGGAUUUCCAGCUACUCUUAUUUCACCUUUCCAUGGACUUUUAGCAGUCUUCGCAACACAAAAGAAAACAUUAACACUGAUCUCUGGAACAAAUACAAAUCCUAACUAUGCUCAUUCAGCCUGGACCAUUGCAGUUUGAAGUGAAGGAAGCUUUGCUCACAUGCAUUUCUAAUCAACCAGCUACCAACAAAAUAACCAGACUAAUUAUUUCUAAUUGAGGUUUUCUCCUCUUGGAUCUUCCAAACACACUUCUAGCUGGCGAGUACUGCUGGUUGCCAAUCUCCAUGAGAGUAACAAUUCCUUGUUCACAAGGUGAUGUUCUUAAACAAAAGCCUACAAAUGGCCAGUCACAGCACAAUUACAGAGAAAAGUGCAUGAAGUGGAGUGACUGUCACCACUGACUUUACUAACAGCUGCUUGUAUUUGUAUAUAGAAACUGAAAAACUGAACUGCUCCCCACCAAAGCAGAUGAGUCACACCAAUUAAAGCACCAGGGAAAACAGGCAAUAGGGCAAAGUCAUUCCUUUUGAAGGAAUGGUGUCAACAAAGGUACAAAGUUCUUUCUAUCUAUAAAAACACAAAUACAGAGAUGGCAAAA
Long non-coding RNA from Cygnus olor (mute swan), 2236 nucleotides. RefSeq lists it as uncharacterized. The transcript has 2 exons. The record is from RefSeq and is a predicted model, not a curated record. Lineage: Eukaryota; Metazoa; Chordata; Aves; Anseriformes; Anatidae.